CCUACGGGUGGCAGCAGUGAGGAAUAUUGGUCAAUGGCCGAAAGGCUGAACCAGCCAAGUCGCGUGAAGGAAGAAGGAUCUACGGUUUGUAAACCUCUUUUAUCGGGGAACAAAGCUAUCCACGUGUGGCUCAUUGCAAGUACCCUAUGAACAAGCAUCGGCUAACUCCGUGCCAGCAGCCGCGGUAAUACGGAGGAUGCGAGCGUUAUCCGGAUUUAUUGGGUUUAAAGGGUGCGUAGGGUGUUUUGUAAGUCAGCGGUCAAAGUGCCGGGCUCAACCCGAGCAUUGCGGUUGAAACUGGAAGACUUGAGUGUGGGUGAGGUAUGCGGAAUGCGUGGUGUAGCGGUGAAAUGCAUAGAUA
RNAcentral lists this ribosomal RNA (361 nucleotides) under uncultured bacterium. RNAcentral's name for it is "partial 16S ribosomal RNA". It matches the Rfam family "Bacterial small subunit ribosomal RNA", at positions 338 to 696 of the family's 1533-position model. The record is from RNAcentral.